GCUAAGACUGGAUAGGAAGAAAUAAGGCAUCUUUUUUCUUUUAAAAGACCUAGUGAUAGGUAUACUUUAGGAGGGGCUUGCGCCAUAUUAGUUAGUUGGUAGGGUAAUGGCCUACCAAGACGAUGAUGGGUAGCUGGACUGAGAGGUUGAACAGCCACAUUGGGACUGAGACACGGCCCAAACUCCUACGGGAGGCAGCAGUAGGGAAUUUUCGGCAAUGGAGGAAACUCUGACCGAGCAACGCCGCGUGAACGACGAAGUACUUUGGUAUGUAAAGUUCUUUUAUCAAGGAAGAAAAGCAAGUGGUGAACCAUUUGUUUGCCGGUACUUGAUGAAUAAGCCCCGGCUAAUUAUAUGCCAGCAGCCGCGGUAAGACAUAAGGGGCAAGUGUUAUCCGGAAUUAUUGGGCGUAAAGGGUGCGUAGGCGGUCUAGUAAGUCAGUGGUGUAAUGGCAACGCUCAACGUUGUCCGGCUAUUGAAACUGCUAAACUUGAGUUAGAUAGAGGCGAGUGGAAUUCCAUGUGUAGCGGUAAAAUGCGUAAAUAUAUGGAGGAACACCAGAGGCGUAGGCGGCUCGCUGGGUCUUAACUGACGCUGAGGCACGAAAGCGUGGGGAGCAAACAGGAUUAGAUACCCUGGUAGUCCACGCCGUAAACGAUGAGUACUAAGUGUCGGGUUAAACCGGUACUGAAGUUAACACAUUAAGUACUCCGCCUGAGUAGUACGUACGCAAGUAUGAAACUUAAAGGAAUUGACGGGACUCCGCACAAGCGGUGGAUCAUGUUGUUUAAUUCGAAGAUACCCGAAAAACCUUACCAGGUCUUGACAUGUUUUUGCGAAACGGUAGUAAUAUCGUGGAGGUUAUCAGAAACACAGGUGGUGCAUGGUUGUCGUCAGCUCGUGUCGUGAGAUGUUAGGUUAAGUCCUAAAACGAGCGAAACCCUUAUCGUUAGUUGCCAGCACGUUAUGGUGGGGACUUUAACGAGACUGCCAGUGAUAAAUUGGAGGAAGGUGAGGAUCACGUCAAAUCAGCAUGCCCCUUAUGACCUGGGCUACAAACGUGAUACAAUGGCUGUUACAAAGGGUAGCUGAAACGCAAGUUCUUGGCCAAUCCCCAAAAACAGUCUCAGUCCGGAUUGAAGUCUGCAACUCGACUUCAUGAAGUUGGAAUCGCUAGUAAUCGCGAAUCAGCAUGUCGCGGUGAAUACGUUCUCGGGGUUUGUACACACCGCCCGUCAUGAUUUAGCCUUAUUUAACAAAUCAUUGAUUUCAGAAGCUUUAACCAUUUUGUUGUUUACAAAAUUUACUACGUCUGCAUCAUUCCAUUCUUUAGGAGCAGCACUUUCUUCAUUAACAAAUUUUAAUGCAUCAUCAGCUUUUGUUUUUAAAUCAUUUGCUGAUUGCAUUGUUGCGCUAGAGAUUUUUUUAUCUUUAUCAUCUGCUUUGUUAUUUUCUGCAAAUGCAUCUAUUAUUUUUUUUAGACCAUCAACUGCUUUUUGGCCUUCUUUUUUAGCAUCGUCUGAAGAAAGAUCAGCUACUCUUUGUUUUCCACUUAAGUCUUUAAGAUCUACUUUUAAAUUUUCUAUAUCUUUAUUUGUUAAUGUUGUUAUGUUAAAAGGUUUCCAAUGUAAUAAUUUAGCUGCUAUUAGAUAAACAACUAUAGCUAUACCUAAAGAUGCUAACACACCAACUGUAAUUUUGCCGUUUUUAGUUUGUAAAAAAUUUCCUUUAAUUAUUUCUAAUAAUACACGACCUGGUAUUAAAUUUUAAAGAGAUGCUGAUCGUUUCGCUAAAUCCUUAAAAUCUGAACAUUAUUUAAUCGAUUUAGAAUCCAAAACUAUUGAAUUGACUGAAGAAGGUAUUCGUAAAGCAGAAUUAUUUUUUAAAAUUAAUAAUUUAUAUAGUAAUAAAAAUUCUUUUUUAUUACAUUUCAUAAAAAACGCUUUAAAAGCUUGUUUUAUUAUGGAAAAAGACAAAGAUUAUUUAGUACAAAAUGAUAACAUUGUAAUUAUUGAUCCAUUUACAGGUCGCGCUUUGAUUGGUCGACAAUUUAGUGAUGGUUUGCAUCAAGCUUUAGAAGCGAAAGAAAAUUGUCUUAUUAAAGCAGAAACUGAAACAUCUGCUAUGAUUACAUAUCAAAAUUUAUUUCGAAAUUAUAAAUUGAUAUCCGGCAUGACAG
This 2179-nucleotide unclassified non-coding RNA is filed under the name Candidatus Phytoplasma citri. RNAcentral describes it as "Candidatus Phytoplasma aurantifolia contains 16S-23S intergenic spacer region". The stretch from base 1 to 1349 matches the Rfam family "Bacterial small subunit ribosomal RNA", at positions 162 to 1533 of the family's 1533-position model. Lineage: Bacteria; Bacillati; Mycoplasmatota; Mollicutes; Acholeplasmatales; Acholeplasmataceae. The record is from RNAcentral.